RNAcentral lists this ribosomal RNA (468 nucleotides) under uncultured bacterium. RNAcentral's name for it is "partial 16S ribosomal RNA". It matches the Rfam family "Bacterial small subunit ribosomal RNA", at positions 28 to 507 of the family's 1533-position model. The record is from RNAcentral.
GACGAACGCUGGCGGCGUGCUUAACACAUGCAAGUCGAACGGAAAGGCCCUGCUUUUGUGGGGUGCUCGAGUGGCGAACGGGUGAGUAACACGUGAGUAACCUGCCCUUGACUUUGGGAUAACUUCAGGAAACUGGGGCUAAUACCGGAUAGGAGCUCCUGCUGCAUGGUGGGGGUUGGAAAGUUUCGGCGGUUGGGGAUGGACUCGCGGCUUAUCAGCUUGUUGGUGGGGUAGUGGCUUACCAAGGCUUUGACGGGUAGCCGGCCUGAGAGGGUGACCGGCCACAGUGGGACUGAGGUAGGGCCCAGACUCCUACGGGAGGCAGCAGUGGGGAAUAUUGCACAAUGGGCGGAAGCCGGAUGCAGCAACGCCGCGUGCGGGAUGACGGCCGUCGGGUUGUAAACCGCUUUCGCCUGUGACGAAGCGUGAGUGACGGUAAUGGGUAAAGAAGCACCGGCUAACUACGUG